This 253-nucleotide ribosomal RNA is filed under the name uncultured bacterium. Its description in RNAcentral is "partial 16S ribosomal RNA". It matches the Rfam family "Bacterial small subunit ribosomal RNA", at positions 524 to 776 of the family's 1533-position model. The record is from RNAcentral.
UACGUAGGGCGCAAGCGUUGUCCGGAAUUAUUGGGCGUAAAGAGCUCGUAGGUGGCUUGUCACGUCGGGUGUGAAAGCUUGGGGCUUAACUCCAGGUCUGCAUUCGAUACGGGCUGGCUAGAGGUAGGUAGGGGAGAACGGAAUUCCUGGUGUAGCGGUGAAAUGCGCAGAUAUCAGGAGGAACACCGGUGGCGAAGGCGGUUCUCUGGGCAUGUCCUGACGCUGAGGAGCGAAAGUGUGGGGAGCGAACAGG